RNAcentral lists this ribosomal RNA (253 nucleotides) under uncultured bacterium. RNAcentral describes it as "partial 16S ribosomal RNA". It matches the Rfam family "Bacterial small subunit ribosomal RNA", at positions 524 to 776 of the family's 1533-position model. The record is from RNAcentral.
UACGUAGGUGGCAAGCGUUGUUCGGAAUUAUUGGGCGUAAAGGGCGCGUAGGCGGUUUGGUAAGUCAGCUGUGAAAGCCCGGGGCUUAACCCCGGGUCUGCAUCCGAUACGGGCAGGCUAGAGUGUGGUAGGGGAGAUCGGAAUUCCUGGUGUAGCGGUGAAAUGCGCAGAUAUCAGGAGGAACACCAAUUGCGAAGGCAGCUCGCUGGGACGUUACUGACGCUGAGACGCGAAAGCGUGGGGAGCAAACAGG